RNAcentral lists this ribosomal RNA (427 nucleotides) under uncultured bacterium. RNAcentral describes it as "bacterial SSU rRNA". It matches the Rfam family "Bacterial small subunit ribosomal RNA", at positions 355 to 774 of the family's 1533-position model. The record is from RNAcentral.
UGAGGAAUAUUGGACAAUGGGCGCAAGCCUGAUCCAGCAAUGCCGCGUGCAGGAUGAAGGCCUUCGGGUUGCAAACUGCUUUUGUACGGAGCGAAAAGGUCUGCCCUAAUACGGUGGGCUCAUGACGGUACCGUAAGAAUAAGCACCGGCUAACUACGUGCCAGCAGCCGCGGUAGUACGUAGGGUGCGAGCGUUAAUCGGAAUUACUGGGCGUAAAGCGUGCGCAGGCGGUUAUAUAAGACAGAUGUGAAAUCCCCGGGCUCAACCUGGGACCUGCAUUUGUGACUGUAUAGCUAGAGUACGGUAGAGGGGGAUGGAAUUCCGCGUGUAGCAGUGAAAUGCGUAGAUAUGCGGAGGAACACCGAUGGCGAAGGCAAUCCCCUGGACCUGUACUGACGCCCAUGCACGAAAGCGUGGGGAGCAAACA